RNAcentral lists this ribosomal RNA (459 nucleotides) under uncultured bacterium. Its description in RNAcentral is "bacterial SSU rRNA". It matches the Rfam family "Bacterial small subunit ribosomal RNA", at positions 29 to 524 of the family's 1533-position model. The record is from RNAcentral.
AACGAACGCUGGCGGCAUGCCUAACACAUGCAAGUCGAACGGGAUCCAGGCUUCGGCCUGGUGAGAGUGGCGGACGGGUGAGUAACACGUGGGAACCUGCCUUUUGGUUCGGGAUAACCGCGGGAAACUGCGGCUAAUACCGGAUGCUCCCGAGAGGGGAAAGAUUUAUCGCCAGAAGAGGGGCCCGCGUCCGAUUAGGUAGUUGGUGAGGUAAUGGCUCACCAAGCCGACGAUCGGUAGCUGGUCUGAGAGGAUGAUCAGCCACACUGGGACUGAGAUACGGCCCAGACUCCUACGGGAGGCAGCAGUGGGGAAUAUUGGACAAUGGGGGCAACCCUGAUCCAGCAAUGCCGCGUGAGUGAUGAAGGCCUUAGGGUUGUAAAGCUUUUUGCCAGGGAAGAUGAUGACUGUACCUGGAGAAUAAGCCCCGGCUAACUUCGUGCCAGCAGCCGCGGUAAU